GUCGCCCAGGCUGGAGUGCAGUGAAGUGAUCUUGGCUCACUGCAACCUCCGCUUUCUGGGUUCAAUCUCCCAAAUAGCUGGGAUUAUAGUCUCCUGCCGCCAUGCCCGGCUAACUUUUUUUUUCUUUUUAAUAGAGAUGGGGUUUCACCAUGUUGUCCAGGCUGGUCUUGAACUCCUAACCUCAAGUGAUCACCUGCCUCAACCUCCCAAAGUGCAGAGAUUACAGGCGUGAGCCGCCGUGCCCGGACUCAAUACAUUUUUAAUAUACACAGAGCUUUGCCACAUUUUGGAGGGUUGCCUAGUAUUGGAAUUUCUGGAUUUUUAUUUUUUAUAUUUGUGUUUCUCCCUUUUAGUUUGAUGUAAUGCAACUCGGUAGAUUUUCUUAUUGAAAUAAAAUCUCAGGCUCUCUCCAUUGCAUAGGCUGAAGCAGGUAUGACGUAGGACACUGGCUGGAUUCAGACCCUUGAAGGAGGCCGGGCGCGGUGGCUCAUGCCUGUAAUCCCAGCACUUUAGGAGGCUGAGGCAGGCAGAUCACUUGAGGUCAGGAGUUUGAGACCAGCCUGGCCAACAUGGUGAAACCCCGUCUCUACCAAAAAAACGAAAAACAAAAAUUAACCGACUGUGGUGGUGCGUGCCUGUAGUCCCAGCUACUUGGAAGGCUGAGGUAGGAGAAUUGCUUGAACCCAAUAGGUCGUGGUGGCAGUGAGCCAAAAUCGCACCACCGCACUCCAGCCUGGGCGACAGAGUGAGACUGUCUCAAAAAACAAAAACAAAACAAAAGCAGACCCUUGAAGGGUGAGCAUUUUGCCGUGUUUCAUUUGGCAGCUGGCUGUUCUGCUUCCUCCUAACAUCUCAAAGGACACUGGAUGGCCUGAGCUCCUGGGUACCCUGAGCUGCCCAGUUAGCAUUCCCUGGGUGGUGAGAAAAAUGCAAAUUGUCUCUGCCCUGGAGCUUAAAGAUUUCUCUCUGUAGGACCUCAGGAGGUCUUUUAUCAAACUCUGUAUUUGCAAGGCGGGAGGAUUGCUUGAGCCCAGGAGUUCGAGACUAGCCUGGGCAACCUAGUGAGACUCUGUUUCUACAAAAAUCAGCCUGGCAGGGUGGCACACACCUGUAGUCCCAGCUACUAGGGAGGCUGAGGAGGUAGGAUCACUUGAGUCCAGGAGUUUGAGGUUGCUGUGAGCUGUGAUUGCACCAGAUUGCUACAUGGGGAUGAGAGGAAAUAGAGGGUGAACAGAUCUCCUGCUACCGCACAUGCCACUUUUGAAUUCCCAGCUGGUGUUUGAAGGCUGUGCAAGGUGUUGGAUUGCAGGAUGAUGGAGACCCAGAUCAUUGUGAAUCCAUGACCGUGUGGCCGUUUGCAUCGACUCAGCCUUACUGCAGAUACUAACCUUCAUUACCCUCUCCAGCUAUGCACUGGUUUUCUGCAUACCACUUGGAAUUUAUGUUGGCUCUGAGUCAUCCGACUCUCACAUGAGAAAGAACCAAAUAAUGAUGUGUUAUUUUAAACGAAUGUGUCUGCAUAUGGCUUCUUAUCUGCCAAGUGUUGCACCUUAGGCAUUUAUAUUGAGAGUUUCAAGAUCGUGCCACUGCCCUCCAGCCUGGGUGACAGAGCAAUACCUUGUCCCAAAAAAACAAAAACAAAAACAAAAAAAAACAAGAUAGGAGCAGACAUUUCCAAACAGCUAAAAUGUCCUCAAAGGGAGUUACUGAUGUAUUAGUCUGUUCUCAAUGCUGCUAAUAAACACAUACCUAAUACUGGGUAAUUUAUAAAGGAAAGAGGUUGAAUGGAUCCACAGUUCCACAUGGCUGGGGAGGCCUCACAAUCACGGCAGAAGGCAAAGGGGGAGCAAAGUCACGUCUUACAUGGUGGUAGGCAGGAGAAUAUGUGCAGGGGAACUGCCCUUUAUAGAACCAUCUUCUGAGACUCAUUCACUUAUCACAAGAACAGCAUGGGGAAAACCCACCCCCAUAAUUCAAUUAGCUCCCACCAGUUCCCUUCCACCACAUGUGAGGAUUAUUACAAUUCAAGGUGAGAUCUGGGUGGAGACACAGAGCCAAACCAUAUCAAUUGAUAAUUAGCAGAUUAAAGGGAAAAGGGCAAAUCUGUUGACUAAGACGGCCUUCACGUUUCCCUCAGCUUGACUGAGUGUUACACAGUUUUCCUCCCGACCUCCUUGUCUAUUUUUUAGUUUUAAUUUUUUUGAUACAUAAUUGAUGCACAUAUGUUGGGGGUACAUGUGAUUACUCAAUACACUCACAAUUUGUAAAGAUCACAUCAUUGUGAUCAAGAUAUUCAUCACCCUACAUAUUUGCCUUUUCGUUAAGCUAGAAACAUUUAAAUUCUUAUCUUUAGCUAUUUUGAAAUAUACAAUAGAUUACUGUAAACUACAGUCACCCUGCUGAUUUACUGAACAGUGAGUGGGUCUUAUUUCUUUUAUCAAACUCUGUAUUUGCAAGGCGGGAGGAUUGCUUGAGCCCAGGAGUUCGAGGCUAGCCUGGGCAAUCUAGUGAGACCCUGUCUCUACAAAAAAUACAAAAAUCGGCCUGGCAUGGUGGCACGCACCUGUAGUCCCAGCUACUGGGGAGGCUGAGGUGGUAGGAUCACUUGAGCUCAGGAGUUCCAGGUUACUCUGAGGUACCAUUGUAUCACUGUACUCCAGUCUGGGCAACAGAGCAGAAUUCUGUCUCCAAAAAAACAAAAACCCCUACUUAUUUGUACCCAUUAAUCAAACUAUUUUUAUGUCCCUUCCCAGCCUCUGGUAGCUACCAAUCUACUCUCUAUCUCCAUGAGAUCCAGGUUUUAAGCUCCCACAUGUGAGUGAGAACAUGCAGUAUUUUUCUUCUGUGCCUGGCUUAUUUCACUUAACAUAAUGACCUCCAGUUCCAUCCAUCAGGCCUCCUUUUUUCACAGAGGAUUUAUUUUAGGAAACUUGCAAUUGUGAGUUCUUUCUCUACCUCUUUGAGAGGCAAAUCUUCUCCCAAAUUUUCUUCUAGCCUCUUCCUAGUUUUGCAACCCAGGAAUGCCUUUCUCAAGACUUCAGAGCCAUCCCUUUAAAAUGCAAUUAUUGAAGGAGAUGAUACAUCUGUGUCUCCGUUUUUGUAGAAGGGCAGAUUCCUAGUUUUGAAAAAUUCCAAUGAGCCAACGCAGAUAGCUUUACAGCAUUUCCUAACCUCUUUCUGAUGUCUUCAGUUCCUUCUCAGCAUCUCACCCCGGCACUUAAAAACUCUCCAGCCUUUUGUUUCAACAAAGUUAAGCUCCUCUCUUCCGUAUCGCAGUAGUCCUGACUGAGUCCUUCCUUGAAGGUUUAACUUGUCUGGUGCAAUUUUUUCUUUGACAAUGUCCAGAUCAAAUGAUCCCAUAAAAACAUCGAGUGUGAUUUUAGCCUGAGAAGGGGGAGGGUGAGAAGACAGAUUGGGAGGCAGCUGUGUAGGCAGGGGACUUGGCCACUCCCUAAACCUCUCCCAGUCUCAUCUGUAAAUGGAGUGUAUAGGCGGCAGUGCUUCUCCCCCAAGGCUGGGGCGAUGGAAUCAGUUAGACUAUUGAGGGCAUCUGCGUCAGGGUUAGUCCUCAGGGUAUGGUGGCCAAUGGGUUUCUUUUGGUUGACUGUUGACAAUGCGUUUGUUGAAUGGCAGCCUGCACUAGGCAACGCUGAAGCCACAGAAGACACCGUAGUGGGAAAACCAGCAUGAGCCGCUGCCCCCAAGGAACCUCGAAGCCCAGGCAGAGGACCAGCCAUCCCAGCCCGCAGGUGGGAUUUAUCUUCUUUAAGACAACGUCCUGACCUCGGACACAUAGAAGGCUGCUGAAGGCAAUGGUGGAUCCUUUCAUUUCAAACAAAAUCACAUUCAAUUUUUUGAGAGCUGCAGGCCUGGGUGGUGUUAAAUUGUGUCAUUUAGUAUUAAAGAAACACGAUAAAACUUUCAAA
Gorilla gorilla gorilla (western lowland gorilla) is the source of this 3926-nucleotide long non-coding RNA. RefSeq lists it as uncharacterized. The transcript has 2 exons. The record is from RefSeq and is a predicted model, not a curated record. Lineage: Eukaryota; Metazoa; Chordata; Mammalia; Primates; Hominidae.